UUGGUUCAUUUAAAAAAAAUCAGUUUAUAGAAAUACAAAGUUCAUUUCUAUUAUCUGAUCAUUAAUUCAUCAUCUCAACUUUUUAUAUCGUAUCAUUCUAAAUAUCCUAUUUGAAAUUGAUAUUAUUCUUAUUUAUUUGAUUGUUUAUUUUGUAAUAGUUUUAAUGGAAUAAAAAAAUCUUCUUAACCUUUUUUUAGAUUUUAUUUUUAAAAUUCAAGAAUUAAAAAUGAAAUAAAUUUUGACUUUUUUUUAUUUCUUUAAAUAUUGAAAUUAUAAAACAAAUAGAGACCUCAUGAAAAAAAAUUUCGCCCGCACAAACACUCUAAAGCCCGCAUUGCAUGGACCAAGUCGUAUAAUUACGUAGUGAUGAGUUGAGAAGCUGUUCGUUUCCGAAAUUAAGUUCAAGACUUAUGAAAAGCCUACAAGAAAUAUAUGUUCAAAGCCUUACAGGACGUAUGGCCAUGAAUAAUUAAGUCGACUGGAGGGAUUUUUGGCCAUAAAAAAAAGUCAUAAUCUAUUUAUUGUUUAGGUUAGUGGGAGAAUCGAAAUUCAAAACCUACGACCUAAAAUGUCAACCAAAAUUAAUUCAGGUUUUGUACUCGGAGUUUCGUAUUAAAAUUGCUUAAACAACGUUAAUACCGAUCAACGGUUGUCAUAUAAUAUCAUCGAAUUUGAAUGGUCAUAGCUCGAGGUGAAACUUCUGUCGCGAUUCAUGGGAAGCGUACUAUACAAACUAUAUUAUUUAAUAUGAAACACAACUUUUCAAAUCUCUUAAUUAACUCAAUUAAAUACCACAACAUAAGGCACAACUAGGACUGUUCGGUUUCUUGGCUUUUUAUGAGACUUUGCGCCUCUUUGAGAAAAUUCUUGAUACGGAUCAAUCAAAAAGAUAGAUUUAUUACUAAUAGAGAAGUUUUGAUUAGGUUUACGGUCCAUCGAUGUGUCCAAUUUUUAUUGAGGGAGCUGUGGGUAUUAUUAAACAGCGAUUUUUUAAUAAAAGCUGCACACAUUAACUGCCCUUCACUGGAUCUACUAAUGGGUAAUUUAACGAUAAUGAAUUAUAUAUAUAUAUA
RNAcentral lists this long non-coding RNA (1073 nucleotides) under Citrus x clementina. Its description in RNAcentral is "Citrus clementina (C. clementina) long non-coding RNA (CCLE_LNC004444)". Lineage: Eukaryota; Viridiplantae; Streptophyta; Magnoliopsida; Sapindales; Rutaceae. The record is from RNAcentral.